This is a long non-coding RNA of Sinocyclocheilus grahami, 1107 nucleotides long. RefSeq lists it as uncharacterized. Lineage: Eukaryota; Metazoa; Chordata; Actinopteri; Cypriniformes; Cyprinidae. The transcript is spliced from 2 exons. The record is from RefSeq and is a predicted model, not a curated record.
UGCACCCCCCCCCCUUCAUCCAGGGAGAGACCAGCAGCUAUUCCAAUUGAGAUCAAAAGCAUUGACGACACUUCCAACUUUGACGAGUUUCCUGAUUCAGACAUCCUCCAGCCUUCAGCCCCUCCUGUGUCCAACCACACUGAAGCUGAUCUGAAGAGUAAAGACUGGGUGUUCAUCAACUACACCUACAAGCGCUUUGAGGGGCUGACUGCACGAGGAGGCAUCCCAUCAUACAUGAAAACUGGGAAGAGAUAGGCUUCAAUAGGACUCAAUAGGUUGUUUUUCCACAAGGAGACAUUCUCCAUCGCUCCUCCUAGCAUCUGAAGGAUCCUGCAUCAUCCAUUUCCUUUUUUGACUCACUCAACCAUGAUUCAUUUAUGGAUGUGGACUCCACCCGCACUCAAUCCAUAGAAAGACACGUUCAGAGUCUUAUCUAAGGGCUUCUUUUCCUCGAACACCCUGACUGUGCUCGUUUUAUCCCUGAGCUUUUCCGUUUUUCCUUCUUACACUGACACUGGCAAAAAGGGCUUGAAGGGCUGGUUAGACUUCCUGCAACCAUAAUUGAUUUUAAUUGCAUUAGCAAAGGUGGAUCAUUGAUUUACUGCUUCCAAGAACUAGCAUUUGUGGUAGAAGCCCUGUCUCAGCCUUUUUCUUGUCCACAUCUACUGUACACAUCUUAAAGACUGAAACCUUCCCUUUUAUUAAAUAAGAUGGUUGUUUUGAAAAUCCAUACUUCUAAAGACUUCACUUUUCUCCUCUGUUUUUGAAAAUGUUUUCUUGUUACGCUCACCAUCCAAGAUCUCAGCGACAAUGGCAAAACACGGGGCUUCGUAGUCAGUCUGAUCUGAAUGUUAUUCAUACAAACCCCCAGAGCUGUAGAUGUUGCCUUACAUUCGGAUCCUUCUUAUACCAGCAGAAACAUCAUGAAUGCAUUUGCCAGUCAAAUCAAAUUGUUCAUUAACAUAACAUUGAAAUUUCACCAGCUGAUGUCAAAGACCAAGCAAACUCUACGGACCAGCGUUUGUUUAUUAUUUAAUGGGUAGUUUCAGCCACCGACUGAUUCAAAAUUUGCUUGGUGCUAAUGCUGUUCUUUUUUUAAUCUUUUUU